RNAcentral lists this ribosomal RNA (362 nucleotides) under Enterobacter hormaechei. RNAcentral's name for it is "partial 23S ribosomal RNA". It matches the Rfam family "Bacterial large subunit ribosomal RNA", at positions 2569 to 2925 of the family's 2925-position model. Lineage: Bacteria; Pseudomonadati; Pseudomonadota; Gammaproteobacteria; Enterobacterales; Enterobacteriaceae. The record is from RNAcentral.
GGGUAUGGCUGUUCGCCAUUUAAAGUGGUACGCGAGCUGGGUUUAGAACGUCGUGAGACAGUUCGGUCCCUAUCUGCCGUGGGCGCUGGAGAAUUGAGGGGGGCUGCUCCUAGUACGAGAGGACCGGAGUGGACGCAUCACUGGUGUUCGGGUUGUCAUGCCAAUGGCACUGCCCGGUAGCUAAAUGCGGAAGAGAUAAGUGCUGAAAGCAUCUAAGCACGAAACUUGCCCCGAGAUGAGUUCUCCCUGAGACUUUAAGUCUCCUGAAGGAACGUUGAAGACGACGACGUUGAUAGGUCGGGUGUGUAAGCGCAGCGAUGCGUUGAGCUAACCGAUACUAAUGAACCGUGAGGCUUAACCUU